RNAcentral lists this unclassified non-coding RNA (378 nucleotides) under plant metagenome. Its description in RNAcentral is "partial contains 5.8S ribosomal RNA, internal transcribed spacer 2, and large subunit ribosomal RNA". The stretch from base 1 to 105 matches the Rfam family "5.8S ribosomal RNA", at positions 50 to 154 of the family's 154-position model. The record is from RNAcentral.
GAAAUGCGAUAAGUAAUGUGAAUUGCAGAAUUCAGUGAAUCAUCGAAUCUUUGAACGCACCUUGCGCUCCUUGGUAUUCCUUGGAGCAUGCCUGUUUGAGUAUCAUUAAAUCUUCAAAGUAAAUCUUUUGUUAACUCAAUUGGUUUCUACUUUGGUAUUGGAGGUCUUUGCAGCUUCACACCUGCUCCUCUUUGUUCAUUAGCUGGAUCUCAGUGUUAUGCUUGGUUCCACUCGGCGUGAUAAGUUAUCUAUCGCUGAGGACACUGUAAAAGGUGGCCAAGGUAAAUGCAGAUGAACCGCUUCUAAUAGUCCAUUGACUUGGACAAUACUUUUAUGAUCUGAUCUCAAAUCAGGUAGGGCUACCCGCUGAACUUAAGC